AGUGAACGCUGGCGGUAGGCCUAACACAUGCAAGUCGAACGGCAGCACAGUAAGAGCUGCCCUUACGGGUGGCGAGUGGCGGACGGGUGAGGAAUACAUCGGAAUCUACUUUUUCGUGGGGGAUAAAGGAGGGAAACUUACGCUAAUACCGCAUACGACCUACGGGUGAAAGCCGGGGGUCUUCGGACCUUGCGCGAUUGAAUGAGCCGAUGUCGGAUUAGCUAGUUGGCGGGGUAAAGGCCCACCAAGGCGACGAUCCGUAGCUGGUCUGAGAGGAUGAUCAGCCACACUGGAACUGAGACACGGUCCAGACUCCUACGGGAGGCAGCAGUGGGGAAUAUUGGACAAUGGGCGCAAGCCUGAUCCAGCCAUACCGCGUGGGUGAAGAAGGCCUUCGGGUUGUAAAGCCCUUUUGUUGGGAAAGAAAAGCAGCAGGUUAAUACCCCGCUGUUCUGACGGUACCCAAAGAAUAAGCACCGGCUAACUUCGUG
RNAcentral lists this ribosomal RNA (491 nucleotides) under uncultured bacterium. RNAcentral's name for it is "partial 16S ribosomal RNA". It matches the Rfam family "Bacterial small subunit ribosomal RNA", at positions 29 to 507 of the family's 1533-position model. The record is from RNAcentral.